GUAGCUAUACUGAUCAUGUUCACUAAUGUUAGCAACUACAACCUUUAUAUAGUAUGUUAAAACCUUUUCUAUAUUAUGUGUGUAUGUGUAUUUGUGUAUAUGAGAAAGAAGAAAAAAAUCUGUUUUUAAUAUUUGACUUCACUGCAAACUGCAAUAUUUAUUUAACUGCUUAUACAUCAAAUCGUUAAAGUUUAAAAGACCUCGUUCAACUUUACAAUAAAAUCAUUUUUUUUUACAUUACUUAAUACAUUCAUAAAUUGAACUAACAAUACAAAUUAUAUCAUUUACAAUAUUUUAUUUUUGAUUCUGGCAACGAUGUAUAUUUUGUACAAACAAAAUGUGAAUUACUGCAUAUUCCUCACAGGGAAAAUACACUAUACACACCAAACUUUGUCUAUAUGAUGCCAUCGAGCACUGUAACCCUUUGCUGUAAAUUUACAGCGAAUUUCUUACAGAAUUGUACUGUAUUUCCAUAAUACAGUAUAAGGCUGUAUAAUUUACAGAGCAGCUGUAAAUAUACAGCAUAUUUCUGUUUUCUUCCCGAUAAAUUUGUAAUACAGUAUCAGACUGUAAAUGCAUUGCAUUGUGGGAUUGAUUUGAAUUUCGCGCUCAAAUUCAGAUGAGACCUGACGCCAACUGAUGUGCCAACUGUGUGAGUUUUUGUGAGUUUGCAAUUAAUCUUUAAGCUUUUUGGUUUGUGUGAGCUUCGUUUCGUGUAAGCAUUUGUCUGCGUCUUUCAAAUAUGAGUUGCCUGUGACGCAGCAGAAACGGUUAAGUCUCAUGAACUUCAUGAAGAUGGGAGGAAGAAUCGGUCAUGCAUUUGUGAGCAAAAGUGGAUUUUAGAGCUUGAGAAGACUUCAACUGACUGAUACGGUAAGCCAAUCUAUUUGUAUUUAUUUAUUGCGUUCGGUUUAAGUUGCACGAAUAAGUUUGAUUUUGUGAACGUGGCUUUGUAACGCGAAAAAAAAACGCACUCCUUCGAUCUUUACCAAGUAACUAACGUUAACUUAACUUAGAAAUUUCACACAAGCAGCAUACCAUUUCAUUUGCAUGACCUACUUGUGUGUGUGUGUGUGUGUGUGUGUGUGUAUAUAUAUAUAUAUAUAUAUAUAUAUAUAUAUAAACAGGUUACAUAAAAUAAAAUCACGAAACUAAAAAUCACUCGUUCCACCGAGUGAUUUACCAUGUCAUUUGGAUGAUCUGCUUUUUUUUUUCUUCGUUUCAGGUUUUACAAUCUGAUGAAAAAUCCAGUGCUAUUAAGUGCUUCAGUACGUUAGUGUCUAGUCCACGUGCAAAAAUGCCAUGGUGUCAGUUCUGCGAUUGUACUUUUGAAUCGUUGUCAGCAUUUUGCCAGCACAUGAAAAUCCAUAGUCAUGUUCCAAAUUCCGUUUUCAAAUUUGGUAUCAGUCAAAUGUUUCAGUACAGAAUCAGAUGCCGCAUGGUGAGGCCGAACACUCACAUCCACAGUCUGAAUUCUUUGAUUGUGGUGAUGGCAGAGAGCAGUUGGAGAAUGCACUUUUGCCAGAUAAUGCAGAUGAAUCUCUCUCUUUUUUUUUUAAACAUGCAUUUAGUUUUGCAGAAGAAUGAUGAGGGAAUUGUGUUUGGGAACAUUCAGUUAAUUAUUGUACAUGACAAUAGCAAUGUGUAUUUUGUCACAAAGAAAAGUCAGUCUUUUUGUCUUGUAGACCAGGGAGUUCAUUGCUUGAAACCACAAGAUCAAGGCUACCUAUGCAUAAAUCAAGACAGUCUACUGGAUUACUAUCCUCUGCCUGAAUAUUCAUUGUGUGGCUUGUCAGUAAUUGUUCUCUCAUCAUUCCUUCCCAAUUUUAGAAUAAUGUCUGGAAUGAAAGAAGUCUUGAAAGAUGCUGUAUUGUUGGUGUUGCCAAGCCUAUCUCCAUAUGUAACCAACCAGCUUGUUGAGAAAUUCAUGGACCAAGGUGUCGAAGGCUUGGAUGAUUUGGUUUACGUAAAAGAUGACAUUUUGGAGUUCCAAUGCAGAAAACUUCUUUGUUCAUGGAAAAAUCAAGGAAGUGUGGUGAUGGUAUGAGAAAUAUAAAACAGAUUUUAAUUGGCAACAUAUGUAUGAAAGAAUCAACUGUGUUCAGCAAAAUUGUGUGGUCAAUCUCUGAGCAACCAGCUCUGGAUGUUGAGUUUGGAGGGUCAAAUUGUUUGUGAAGGAGCACAGCCCAACUUCAUCACUGGCCUGGCAGCGCUGUUUGCCUCCUAUAAUUUCAAUUUACAGUACCAGGAAGAGGCAUCAUGCACCCUUGAGUUUGUUCAGAGACGCUUUGUUGACAUCAAUCCUGAACGUGGACCGAAAGCAAAAAAAAAGGAAAAGUGACUUCAAAGAAAACUGGCCAAGUUGUGCAAAAAAAGAACGCCACUGUAAGCCCACCAGUUUCCUCACUUCUGCGAAAACUUUCAGACUUUGAAUGGAACUUUGUUUAGAUCCUGUCAGCAAGUACAUUAAAAGUGAUUAUGAUUACUGCAUCAUUAAUUCCAUUUAUAUAAUACAACUGCCAUUUCAGCCAUUUUGAAGCUCUAUUCUUUAAAUAUCUUAAUAAAAA
RNA transcript from Carassius auratus (goldfish), 2567 nucleotides. RefSeq lists it as uncharacterized. The transcript has 4 exons. NCBI's taxonomy places the organism in Eukaryota, Metazoa, Chordata, Actinopteri, Cypriniformes, Cyprinidae. The record is from RefSeq and is a predicted model, not a curated record.